Long non-coding RNA from Harpia harpyja (harpy eagle), 3262 nucleotides. RefSeq lists it as uncharacterized. The transcript has 2 exons. NCBI's taxonomy places the organism in Eukaryota, Metazoa, Chordata, Aves, Accipitriformes, Accipitridae. The record is from RefSeq and is a predicted model, not a curated record.
AGGGCCCAGGCGCCGGCGAUGGCGGUCGAGCGGCGGCCGCCAUUUUGUGUGUGUGGAGGCCGGCUCCGGGCCUCGCUGCCCGCCGCGGAGGCGGGGGUGCGCGGCGCGGCGAGGCCGAUGGACCAAAAGCUGCCAGCUUUUCGGCGAUGGCCUCGUCGGUGAGCGCCGUAAAACCUCUUCCGCGUGCAGGGCUCACUGUGCCACAGAUUCUCCUCUUUUUUUUUUUUUUUUUUAACAAAAUGAUGCUUACCUUGUGACACAAGAGAAUCACCAGGAUAUCCCAAACAGCUGUGUAAGUAUAUCCUCAGAAUGUAAAGCUAACAAAAUUAAAUGCAAUUAGUGCAAGUUAAGUUGUAGGCAGGACAAUAGUGUUAUUGUCAGCACCAUGUCCCUGCUUUAUAAAACCUGGAACAUCAAAUGGCUGGGUUUAACAGACUUCAGGACCUAAUUGCCAUGCCAGUGAGUACCAGCAACCUGCUCCUUGAAACUAAUUCAGACCAUGAGGGAAGGCAAGCUGCACGUUCUCUUCAGCCGGUGUUAAGGGGCAGGAUUCGGGUUUCACUUCACACCAAUGUUGCGGCACUAACGGGCUGUUUAAGAUGGACUACUUCCUUUUUUUUUAUUUUCUUGCAGCCAGCAGUGUUUUCAGGGAACUGGUCUGUCCGUAUGCCGCUUCGCCCCACAUCGAAGAAGAAUGGCCGUAACUGCUGGUGGGAUGAUUUAGUCCCCUUUUCUUUUGUAUUAGUGCAAUAAUUUCUACCUCUCCCCAGGACAGAAAUGCAGUCUUUUCCUCAGCAAGUGGGAAACCCUUUAGCCAAGAGGGUCUCUAUAUGCCCCGUGUUUCUGAGGCUGCUUGCUGCAAAGCUGGCGUCGGUGGUGUCCUCCUGCAGCCAGCAGAGUGGCAGUGAGCCUCUUCCUACCGCUCGGCCCCACAGUCGGGACAAGCAGGAGCUCCAACAGGCAGAUUCCUGCAGCCACGGGCUCUGCGCCGAGGUGCAGCCCGUUCAGGGAGAUCGGAGGGGUGCUGCUGUUCCAGCGGCAUUCCUGGGCUCACUGGAGGAGCCGGAAUAAAGGCCAGUUGGCUCAAACAACCCAGGAAAGACCAAAGUGUGGCAGCGAGAGAAGGGAUGUGCUUCAAAGGUUUGGCAGGCGAGGCUGCCUUGCCCUCCAGGGAGGUACUUGCCCUCAACUAGUUAAGACAGCGCGCUGCCUUCUUGUCAGGAGGGACUAAUUGCUGCCCUUUGAUACCACAUCACAGCCAGCUCUGCGGCACCUUUAUCUCUGACGAUCUCUAAGAUUUUAUUUGUUCCUCUCAAACAGUUGAGCUGCAGUCGAGCUCGUCUCCUCCGAACCAACUCUGAGCCAGGCUCCAGAGCUCACGGGGAGGCUCAAGCAGGCGAGCUCUCCCCUUGGCCGGGAAGGCGAAGUGGGGACGAGCUCCCUGUCUGUUACUGAUCCACUCGGAGGUUUCAAAGGUCCCCAAAUGCCACCGGUCUGCGUCUGCCAGGAGGUUUGGAUGCAGGAGCUGGAACGAGCCUAUGCUGGGAGACCUGCCGUUCUUAAACACCUUCUAAAGUGGGGAUCAGAGGUAGCCUGGUUCGUAUGAAGACUUGUUCUCAUUAGAACAGAGCACAGAAUAAAGUAGAAAAAGUUGGUGGAGUCAAAGCAGGUUGGAGAGUUGAUCGUUAUGGUAUUUUGUUUUGGGGUUUUUUUAAAAGUUCUAUUUGUUAAAGCAUUUGCAGAUAAAUGAUUUAUUCUUAGGAGUUAAAUGUAACAAGUUUGGGGUAAGUAGAUGGAGGGCAAACCCUGUGGGUGUGCUAAACUUGGUAACAGCCAUCACUCUGUAACAACCACCGUGCUACAUUUGACUAAUCAUAUUUCCUUGCAUUAAGUUUUUCACAUUCACCAGGUGCUAAGAACUACAUUUCAUGGUACUUGUGAAGUGUAGCACCCACUGCCGGAGUUAGUGCCAUCGGACACGCGCCUGCGGUUGUCCUGCCCCAGAAGAAAACGAGACUCACGGGCAGCACAGAUACAGAGAGGGAAUCGCUCAUUCGGGGAAAUAAAUCGCUGGAAAGAAGCGCCCGGGAUGAACGAGCAGGACGCAGGGUUCGGCGCCGCUCUUCCCAGCCAGCGAGAUCCUGAUUAACUCGUUACCUCUCGCCGUGCCUUGCCGCCGGUCUGGCUCGGGGCGGCGCGGCGGUGCCUCCCUCCGCAGCCGCACCGGGCGCUGGCUCUGCCGGAUGAUGUCAUGGCAGAGGGGAAGGGAGCGCGGGUGGCUACUGGGCUCUUGAGUGAGUAGCCCUCGAAUAGUUUCCUUUUUUCCUGCCCGUCGAUGCCAGCGUACACCCAAGGGCAGGCUGCUUUUUGCCAGGCUCCUGUUAAAAACCUGGUGUGAUCCCUAAAGCCAAGUCCCUCAGCCGCAGCCACUUUAAACCCCCGAUUUUGUACAAACCCGCCUGCGCUGCCCACCCUGAGCAGAGCAGUGCUGGGGGCACCUUUGUCUCCUCCUCCCCCACAUCCAGCCCCCUCUUAUUUUUUCAUAUAAGGCCAUUUUUCCCUCCUGCUGUAGCCUGAGGCAGGGGGUUCCCCCAGCUGAUCCCCUGGCUCUCCAGGUACAAGUUUCAUUAACACACACUCCCAGUUCUGAGCCCGGUUGCCAUUGAUUACACCACACCACAAACCAGAGCAGACUCUGGCCCCUCUAUUACUUUGCCCUUUGUUUUACCUGUUUUCCCUUCAAAAAACCCCACAGCUGCCUGGAGCUUCUCCUGCUUUUUUUCUUCUCCUUCCCCUCUCAGGUACAGCAGCAGGGAAUGAAAAGGUUGAGCUGUCACAUUCACCUUCCACUGAUCCCUCCUCGUCAGCCAUUUCAGAGGCCAAGUGCUGACUAUGAAAACUUUUCCCUGGGCUGCUCCAAAACUUUUAAGUUUUUUCCCCUCACUCGUAGCUUAGAAGUGUAUUUUUAGGCAGUUUUUGCCCAGAUCUCAGUUAACUGACCUGGGAGGAAAGGGAGUUAAGUUUAAGCAAGCCUUUAGGCAAAGAAACAUACUUUGGCUUAAUAGGUUAGAGAGGCAUCAGCAGCAUCCAUCAUACACAUUAAGAGCUGUUAUCGCUUUUUCCAGGUAUUUUUAACCAUUGCAGCUGAUUGAGCAGACUUAGAAUUUAAAAUAAGCAGGGGAAAAAAAAAAAAUAACAAAAAGGGUUAAGUGAGAAACUACUGCUAGUUUUAAUCAGACACCACCAUAGACCAGUUAUAACA